Molecule: ribosomal RNA, 492 nt
Filed under: uncultured bacterium
Lineage: Bacteria
Description: partial 16S ribosomal RNA
Rfam family: Bacterial small subunit ribosomal RNA
Source: RNAcentral
AGUGAACGCUGGCGGUAGGCCUAACACAUGCAAGUCGAACGGCAGCACAGUAAGAGCUUGCCCUUACGGGUGGCGAGUGGCGGACGGGUGAGGAAUACAUCGGCAUCUACUUUUUCGUGGGGGAUAACGUAGGGAAACUUACGCUAAUACCGCAUAUGACCUACGGGUGAAAGCAGGGGAUCUUCGGACCUUGCGCGAUUGAAUGAGCCGAUGUCGGAUUAGCUAGUUGGCGGGGUAAAGGCCCACCAAGGCGACGAUCCGUAGCUGGUCUGAGAGGAUGAUCAGCCACACUGGAACUGAGACACGGUCCAGACUCCUACGGGAGGCAGCAGUGGGGAAUAUUGGACAAUGGGCGCAAGCCUGAUCCAGCCAUGCCGCGUGGGUGAAGAAGGCCUUCGGGUUGUAAAGCCCUUUUGUUGGGAAAGAAAAGCAGCAGGUUAAUACCCCGCUGUUCUGACGGUACCCAAAGAAUAAGCACCGGCUAACUUCGUG